CAGCACAAUGAAGAGAGGAGGAGAUUCUAGUCCCUUUUAACCUCUCCAGUGCAAGCUGCUGGCUUUUAGCCAUUCCGAGAGUUCCUCCCUCUAGUGAGAGUAUAGAGCAGUGCUGAGGUCAGAGAAUGCUCAGUGUUCUUUGUAGGUAUGGAAGAUUUAUCCCAAAGAGUGUGAGUACAGGUGCAGCCCCAGUGGAGCUGCACCAGAGGCAUUAGUGAGAGAAGUUUGAGGGAAAGGAAGCAAAGAGCUGGUUGCCCUAUGGUUUCAAGGAGACAACAGGCUGCUUUAGAGAUUCCCUGCUGUGUGAAAGACACUUCCAAAAGCAGCACUUCUUACAGCAGUGACUGACAGGUGACACUGCUCCGACAGGUGCAGCUCUGCACAGUGGGUUGGCGAGUUGUCAAUUGCUAGUGACAGACACAAAGAGAGAGAAGACCAAACCCCCAGAAUAUUACAAAGAUACUUAUAUGGAGUACUGUGUGAUGGGAGUGUGCUGGUUCAGCUUAGGGUGACUCCUUGCCUCUUCCCCUGGAAUUCUGGUAGUUAUAUCCAUCAGUUAUACAUUCUGGGUCAGACUUUCUUCCCCCACCAGGGGAACCCUGUUGUCUUCAGUGGAGUAUUUGCACCUGACACCAGUGUUUUCUGGAUUUGUACAUACUCAAGAUAGUGGAAAUCAGCCAUGAACUAUAGGACUUCCUGUUAUCCUGAAAGGCGGGGGCUGGCCAGAGGGCCUAGCCAUGAGAAGAGGUGGACUACCAUUGGACUGGAGCAACUAUUGGCAGGGGGCACUAGAAAGGAGAGAACCUUCUAUGCCACACCCAGAUGCAAGGGGGCGCUCUAGCAGUAUGGAAGAUACUUUUUGAUACUUGGUUAAAAGCUUACACAACAUUUCUGCUUAUAGCAUUGCUGCUCCUUGUCCCUGCAGCCCAGAGAACAACAGACACGGGAUGGAAGAGAACAUACAUGAGAACACCUAAAGAUGCAACCGCAGAAGGGAGAAGGACAGCGGAGGGUCAUUGAGUUCUGAAAACAAAGUUUUGCUAUAUUUUGCUAUUUGUGAUGGUCCAAAUCAAAGUUAAUGAGGAUUACUUGCCAAGGAUCUCAACAUAGUUAACAGGAUGAUCAUACUGGAAAUGGCUCGCCAC
Molecule: long non-coding RNA, 1145 nt
Organism: Mauremys reevesii (Reeves's turtle)
Lineage: Eukaryota; Metazoa; Chordata; Testudines; Geoemydidae
Exons: 7
Source: RefSeq, a predicted model, not a curated record